CACAAUUUAACCUCAGCAGAGAGGGGCAGGAGUGCUGUGUCCUGCUCUCCCCCCAGUGAAGGAGCAGGAUAUGCCAGGCACAGCAAUAAGAGCUGUAGAAUGUGGACCACCCCAUCCCUAGGGCAACCACCAGUGUUAUUUUUCAGAUUAUUGGAUUUUCAUACUGUGACUCAGGUGCAAUGCAAGCAAUGUGACAAUUACAGGAAAACACCUGUUAGUAUCAGGUGUAAGGUGCCUUUAGCAGGUAUUGGUGAAGUUAUAGUGAAAUAACCUGAGAAUAAACCUGGGUAAUGCAUUGUUAUAAAGAUGUUCAAAGACAGUAGAAAGCUCCUCCAAUCUGAGGCUGCAGGGGAAAACAGAAGGCUUGAUUUUAAUUCAAGCCCUUGGGAAAAUCAGAAACCUGGACAUGAAGGUGAGGUAGCACAAGGAGUACCAGUUUGAUCCCCCUGUGGAUGGUGGCAGACUCCAGCCCAAAGAUAUUGUGGGUGAUGCUGACAGGGCUGACACUCUUCUUGAAGCCUGAAGAAUCACAACCCAAACAAUCACUUGAAAACAACAAGUGUUGGUUGGGAACAAGGCAGAAGUAUUUCAAAUGACUCUGUUUUGAAUCUGCUGGAGCCAGCAUCAGCUUGGAGAAACUUGGAGUGGAUCAGCAUUCUACUUUGAGCUUCCAACUUGGUUACAGCUGCCCCUAAUUCUGAGGAGGUUUCUGCUGCAAUACUAUGAUAAAAGAAAUCACACUCUUAACUGACUUCGAGCUGUACAGUCAAUUCCAUGGCCCUCAAGUAUUUGCAGUGACUGGAACUCAUAUGUGAGAAUAUCAAUGGAAGGGAAAUCCACCAAAGAAAGAUGGAAAGAAACUUCCUGGACUCCUCCUGUCAUAGAGAAUCUACUGACUUUUCCACUUAAUUUUCACAGUAAGUGACCCUGAAUCCAAAAUGUCUGUAAAAUUCACUGUACUUAAUUAGUGUCUUUAAUUUUAUUUAAAAUUACAUGAAGAAAUUAAAAGUGAUCUUUUUUUGUUUUGUUGCAGUGCAGUGCAUCAUUUUAGGACCAGGCAUUUUCACAAUCUUUUUUCACAGAGUGCUGAGUGCUUUGUUUUAUUUUUAGUGUAAUGAUAAGUCAAAGUAAGGCUUACAAAAUCGCAGGUCCAGAUAUCUGAAAUACAAUCAUCCAUCAAAAACCCUCAGUGGGACAAUUACAGCCCCCACAUCCUCCCACAGCAAACCACGACUGUAGGAGAAGAAUUUUUGGGGGCUGCAGCUGACAUUAGACAACGUGAGGUACUCUUGCUUCAGCCUUCAUGAAAUCACCUGCUGUGAGUCUUAGUGAUGAGAUUCACGUUUUCUCCAUUAAUACCAGCUUUACAUAUUCUGCAGUUUAUUUCAGCAUCUGUGGUGAUGAUAUCUGUUUAAAUUAGGUGUGAAUCUCUUACGUGGUUUUCAUGUUCUUUACAGAGUAAGUACAGCUUUAAAUACUCCUUCAAUAUAAAGUACAUAUCCAAUUCUUCCUCUUCACCAUUGAGUGCCCCCAGCAUUGCUUUUUCUGCCUCAGGUGUGUUUUCAUUGCUUCCCAAUAUCCUCUUUGCUUCUUGGAAGCCAGAAAAGACCCCAAUAUCUUCAUUCCUUCCUAAUGGUUUUCAGUGUUCUUCCUUCCUCUAUUUUAACUCACUCUAGAAACCGAUCUUCAGAUGAUACACAUUUUAUUGUCAUUUAGAUGAAUGUAAAGGAACAGGAAAUGAGGUCUAAGGUGUUACUCUGGUUUAAACAAAGAGUGCUGUGAUUUGCUAAUGCUCUGCACAGACUGCAGAGCCCUGAGGUGCCGGAAAAGAUCCUCAGCAGUGAGUGAUCAAGUCCAGAAUCUUGCUGUGCCAUAUGCAGACCAGUCAGACCGGUGGUGCUUCUGUGCCUUUCCCUCACAGGAAAUGUUUCAUGGGGAGCCUGAGCUCCGAGUCAGACUUUUUUGUUGUCGGUUGAGAAAUUCAUUUGCAAAGGUGUAUAUAAGAGGAUAACAAUUACUUGUUGGGGACAAUAAUAUUACUAACAGUAAUAAUGACAGAAUCCAUCAGUGAGAAAAUGCAUGUGUUUAUUCCUCUGUGUCUUCAAGUGCAUCAGAUGAAAAUUUGAGCUAUAGAUGUAUCACAUGGAAAACCAUAUGGCAACAUGCGUGCUUGGAAAGGCUUUUGACUUGACUAAAUAAAUUUCUCAGCAAGCUUGUCCUUGCUGACUGCAGGGUUUUGGGGAUUAUAAGACGAAUGUGGACAAGGCUGUCAUGUCCUUCAGCAUUUUCAGCAUGAUGUAAGUAUGA
Long non-coding RNA from Pseudopipra pipra, 2307 nucleotides. RefSeq lists it as uncharacterized. The transcript is spliced from 7 exons. Lineage: Eukaryota; Metazoa; Chordata; Aves; Passeriformes; Pipridae. The record is from RefSeq and is a predicted model, not a curated record.